Molecule: ribosomal RNA, 742 nt
Filed under: uncultured cyanobacterium
Lineage: Bacteria; Bacillati; Cyanobacteriota
Description: bacterial SSU rRNA
Rfam family: Bacterial small subunit ribosomal RNA
Source: RNAcentral
GAACGCUGGCGGCGUGCUUAAUACCUGCUAGUCGAACGAGCGCUUCUGCGCUAGUGGCGGACGGGUGAGUAACGCCUGAGGAUCUGCCCUUAUGAUUGGGACAACAGUUGGAAACGACUGCUAAUACCGCAUAUGGCGAGAGCUGAAAGAUUUAUCGCCUGAUGAUGAACUCGCGUCUGAUUAUCUAGUUGGUGAGGUAAUGGCUCACCAACGCAACGAUCAUUAGCUGGUCUGAUAGGAUGAUCAGCCACACUGGGACUGAUACACGGCCCAGACUCCUACUGGAGGCAGCAGUGGGGAAUUUUCCGCGAUGGGGGCAACCCUGACGGAGCAUCGCCGCGUGCGGGAGGACGGCCUGUGGGUUGUAAACCGCUUUUCUCUGGGAAGAAGAUCUGACGGUACCAGAGGAAUCAUCAUCGGCUAACUCCGUGCCAGCAGCCGCGGUAAGACGGAGGAUGCAAGCGUUAUCCGGAAUUAUUGGGCGUAAAGCGUCCGUAGGCGGUCAAUUAAGUCUGCUGUCAAAACCUGCAUCUCAACUGCACAACGGCUGUGGAAACUGAUUGACUAGAGAGCGGUAGGGGUAGAGGGAAUUCCCAGUGUAGCGGUGAAAUGCGUAGAUAUUGGGAAGAACACCAGUGGCGAAGGCGCUCUACUGGACCGCGACUGACGCUGAGGGACGAAAGCUAGGGGAGCGAAAGGUAUUAGAUACUCCUGUACUCCUAGCUGUAAACGAUGGACACUA